Long non-coding RNA from Scleropages formosus (Asian bonytongue), 1031 nucleotides. Lineage: Eukaryota; Metazoa; Chordata; Actinopteri; Osteoglossiformes; Osteoglossidae. The record is from Ensembl.
CACCUCUAAAACAUGCUCCAACGCCGCCAUCUUUGCACCUCUCAUCGUAAUUUCUAUACGUUUGACCGUUAGGGGAAACGAUGACGUCAUCGCGUCUCUUAGCAACUGAACGCAUUCGUAGUUAAAUUCUGCUUGCAAAGAAAAAUUUUCUCACUUGGUGGUAACCAGUCAGAAGUUGUUUUCACCAGCCGUUUUCAAUGUAUCCGAUGAGUUCAUAUAUUCAGAGAAUUAACCACCAUCCUGUGGCGCCAUGUGGAUUUAUUACUGUUGUUCAAAUGUCUGAAGCCUGGUCUCCUGGUCCUUUGGCGGAGGAUUGGAUUGCAGCUCAGACUCCAGCUCAGAUUCCCCUGUGUAUGUCUCCAGUGAAUACAUCUUUUCCUUCAUAUCUCGUUCCUUCACCGCUGCAGAUGUCUGCGAAUGUCUGGACUCCUGCUUCAGUUCCAUUGCUGCCAUUGUCUGAAGCUUGGACUCCUUGUCCUUCAGCAGAAGAUUUGAUGGCAGCUCGGACUCCAGUACCUUUUCCAUUAUCUUGGUCUACCACUCCAUCAGAAAUUGAUGCAUCAUCUUUGGAAAUCUCAUAUUUGCAUGCGGCGUGCCAUAGUAACAGCAAACGGGGGCGGAAGAGACAGUGUGGACGCACAGAGAUUGAAGCCACUGGGACCAAUUUUUGUAAGAAGCAGAGAACAACUGUAGACAAAGAUGUCUUUCCGAAAGCUAUCUUUGAUAAACUCAAUGCCAUCCCUGGGAUUUUGGAACUGGCUGUAGAGAUGGGAUUUCUGCCUCAUGUAAACAACAUCAGCAUUAUUGAUUCAUAAGGAAAUUAAUGCCACCUAUAUUUUUAUUCACCAGCACCAGUGAUACAGUUUUCAAGAUUUUUCAUUUUUCAGACAUAAAAUAACUAAAUUUCUAUUUUGCAUUUUAAAAUAUUUGUUUACAAUUUAUUUCAGAGUUUUAAUAUUUUUAUUGUUUAAUACUUUGUGCUAUUUUUGUUUACUUAAAAAAUAAAGAUGUUUUAAAAGAUUUCGCUUUCA